RNAcentral lists this unclassified non-coding RNA (345 nucleotides) under soil metagenome. RNAcentral describes it as "partial contains 5.8S ribosomal RNA, internal transcribed spacer 2, and large subunit ribosomal RNA". The stretch from base 1 to 121 matches the Rfam family "5.8S ribosomal RNA", at positions 35 to 154 of the family's 154-position model. The record is from RNAcentral.
GAUGAAGAACGUAGUGAAAUGCGAUAAGUAAUGCGAAUUGCAGAAUUUCCGUGAAUCAUCGAAUCUUUGAACGCACAUUGCGCCCGCCAGUAUUCUGGCGGGCAUGCCUGUUCGAGCGUCAUUUCAACCCUCAAGCCCCCGGGCUUGGUGUUGGGGAUCGGCGUGCCCUCGCGGCGCGCCGUCCCCUAAAUCUAGUGGCGGUCUCGCUGUAGCUUCCUCUGCGUAGUAGCAACACUCGCACUGGAUCGCAGCGCGGCCACGCCGUUAAACCCCCCACUUCUGAAAGUUUGACCUCGGAUCAGGUAGGAAUACCCGCUGAACUUAAGCAUAUCAAUAAGCGGAGGA